This is a non-coding RNA of Branchiostoma floridae (Florida lancelet), 94 nucleotides long. The record is from Rfam. NCBI's taxonomy places the organism in Eukaryota, Metazoa, Chordata, Leptocardii, Amphioxiformes, Branchiostomatidae.
GUUUGUUUGUGUGUGGAUGGUGUUCAGCACCAGGAAUAGGUGCUUUUACCUGUGUGUGAAUGGUGUUCAGCACCAAGAACAGGUGUGUUUUUCC